UGGGGAAUUUUGGACAAUGGGCGAAAGCCUGAUCCAGCAAUGCCGCGUGCAGGAGGAAGGCCCUCGGGUUGUAAACUGCUUGUGUACGGAACGAAAAGCCUGGGGCUAAUAUCCCCGGGGCAUGACGGUACCGUAAGAAUAAGCACAGGCUAACUACGUGCCAGCAGCCGCGGUAAUACGUAGGGUGCAAGCGUUAAUCGGAAUUACUGGGCGUAAAGCGUGCGCAGGCGGUUUUGUAAGACAGUGGUGAAAUCCCCGGGCUCAACCUGGGAACUGCCAUUGUGACUGCAAGGCUAGAGUGCGGCAGAGGGGGAUGGAAUUCCGCGUGUAGCAGUGAAAUGCGUAGAUAUGCGGAGGAACACCGAUGGCGAAGGCAAUCCCCUGGGCCUGCACUGACGCUCAUGCACGAAAGCGUGGGGAGCAAACAGG
RNAcentral lists this ribosomal RNA (429 nucleotides) under Acidobacteriota bacterium. RNAcentral describes it as "Acidobacteria bacterium partial 16S ribosomal RNA". It matches the Rfam family "Bacterial small subunit ribosomal RNA", at positions 355 to 776 of the family's 1533-position model. The record is from RNAcentral. Lineage: Bacteria; Pseudomonadati; Acidobacteriota.